GGCUGAUCAUCUGACAGAACUUUGCAGUGAACAUAUCCUAACAGAGUUCAGUUGUUGGAGGGAAGGAAGGUAGGGUGGAGCAGCAAGCUAGAGCAGACUUCUAGUUCUCAUACUUUCUCGCAGAGAAGAGCUUGAAGAUGUGACUGGCAUUAAAACGUGACUUGGGCACUGCAGUGCCUUACAUUGUGGAUUUACACCGCAAUCUGCUUAUGAGGGGUGAAGCCUCUGGGACCUUGGAAGGAGAGGAGGACUCUUGAAAACUGCACUAGAAUAAAAUAUAGGAACUUAUAAGUACUAAUUAUUGUUCAACUACAAUUACAUAUAAGCUUAAAAGAAGUGUCAGGACUUUUCUGCUUCUCCCAAAUACAAGGGCACCCAGUGUGUUCAGUAUCAUCCAGGACAGGAAUGGGCUGCUUUUUUAAAUUGCCUUAUGCCUUUAAUGAUUAAAAUGAAAAGACAUUCAUUGGAGGCAGGCUGGUUCAUUAGCUCAAGCCAUGGCAUAUUCUCUCACAUGUCCCUGCCAGUGACUGAGAUGA
Alligator sinensis (Chinese alligator) is the source of this 536-nucleotide long non-coding RNA. RefSeq lists it as uncharacterized. The record is from RefSeq and is a predicted model, not a curated record. NCBI's taxonomy places the organism in Eukaryota, Metazoa, Chordata, Crocodylia, Alligatoridae. The transcript has 3 exons.